This 846-nucleotide ribosomal RNA is filed under the name uncultured Nitrososphaerota archaeon. Its description in RNAcentral is "bacterial SSU rRNA". It matches the Rfam family "Archaeal small subunit ribosomal RNA", at positions 13 to 864 of the family's 1478-position model. Lineage: Archaea; Thermoproteati; Nitrososphaerota. The record is from RNAcentral.
CCUGCCGGACCUGACUGCUAUCGGAUUAAUACUAAGCCAUGCGAGUUUUUGUAGUAAUACAAGGCAUACGGCUCAGUAACACGUAGUCAACCUACCCUAUGGACGAGGAUAAUCUCGGGAAACUGAGCAUAAUACUCGAUAGAUCAUAAUGCCUGGAAUGGUUUAUGGUUGAAAUGAUUCGUUCGCCAUAGGAUGGGACUGCGGCCUAUCAGCUUGUUGGUGGGGUAAUGGCCCACCAAGGCGAUUACAGGUACGGGCUCUGAGAGGAGAAGCCCGGAGAUGGGUACUGAGACACGGACCCAGGCCCUAUGGGGCGCAGCAGGCGAGAAAACUUUGCAAUGUGCGAAAGCACGACAAGGUUAGUCCGAGUGAUUUCUGCUAAAGAAAUCUUUUGCAAGUCGUAAAACCACUAGUGAAUAAGGGGUGGGCAAGUUCUGGUGUCAGCCGCCGCGGUAAAACCAGCACCUCAAGUGGUCAGGAGGAUUAUUGGGCCUAAAGCAUCCGUAGCCGGCUUUGUUAGUUUUCGGUUAAAUCCAUGCGCUCAACGUAUGGGCUGCCGAGAAUACUGCAUAGCUAGGGAGUGGGAGAGGUAGACGGUACUCGGUAGGAAGGGGUAAAAUCCUUUGAUCUAUCGAUGACCACCUGUGGCGAAGGCGGUCUACCAGAACACGUUCGACGGUGAGGGAUGGAAGCUGGGGGAGCAAACCGGAUUAGAUACCCGGGUAGUCCCAGCUGUAAACGAUGCAGACUCGAUAAUGCAUUGGCACAUAGCCAGUGCAGUGUCGCAGGAAAGCCGUUAAGUCUGCCGCCUGGGAAGUACGUACGCAAGUAUGAAACUUAAAGGAA